This 919-nucleotide long non-coding RNA is filed under the name Daphnia magna. Its description in RNAcentral is "uncharacterized LOC123468638, transcript variant X2". The record is from RNAcentral. Lineage: Eukaryota; Metazoa; Arthropoda; Branchiopoda; Diplostraca; Daphniidae.
GAUCGUAAUACUUGAAGUCAGCUGCGAACAAGACUUGAAGCCAAAUCCAAGCUAGAAGAGUGGUGAUUAGUGCAACGGGUACACCAAUGGCCAUCCAAGUAGCAAAGCUUAAUCCGGUGUCCGAACCGUACAAGCUAGUGAACCAAUGGAGCUCCGGAGCCGAUCAAGGUGCCAGUUCCACCGAGGCUGGCGGCGUAGCUGACGGCAAUGAGAAAUGGAACUUUGACCUUUUGCUUGAUGUCAUUCGAUCUACUGCUGUCACAUCGAAAUUCAACAAUUAGAUAUCUAAGUAACUAAAUAAUAAAAUGUCAAGACUUUUACCACUGUUUUGUUGGCUGUCCCGUCUCCUGGAGGGUGACGAUAGAGGAAUGUUGAGACGCCAGGCUAUUGGCUCCCAUUUCUACAUCCAUGGAGUCCUAUUAAGAUCAGGGAUCAACAUGGCUGUAACUCCGGAGUUGGAGAUCCACAAAGACAGCGACAUACUAACUGACAUGAACCCCAGCAUCAACCUGUUGAAGAGAUAAAGAACAUGUAGCCACAGAUUUGAUCUUUCGACGCCUAGUGCUAGCACGACGCCUCCAAAGAAGACAAUGUUGGAUUGUUUGAUGUAGAGAGCGCAGACUUCGGACGUACUUAGAAUAUCCAACAGCGGGAAAAGUACAAUUGGCAAGAGACUAGUAACUGCUUCGGGAAGUGCCGACGUAAGCCAAAAAAUUGUCAUGAAAUUUGUGGUAGCUAAUAAUGUUCUUACCGCUCCAUUGAAAAUUAAUGGCAGGAGCAGUAGUGGAGUUAAGACAAUGACCAACGUCUUCAUUUUCGGACUAACAUAAGUCUGGAAGAAUGUUUUGCAGCUUAGCAUUGUAGAGAAUUCCUGCAGACGGAUAAAAAAAGAUCUGGAUUAUUCUUUUGAAACCCGUCA